This 774-nucleotide ribosomal RNA is filed under the name uncultured Neocallimastigales. RNAcentral describes it as "partial large subunit ribosomal RNA". It matches the Rfam family "Eukaryotic large subunit ribosomal RNA", at positions 18 to 616 of the family's 3401-position model. The record is from RNAcentral. Lineage: Eukaryota; Fungi; Neocallimastigomycota; Neocallimastigomycetes; Neocallimastigales.
UCAGACGAUGCGUCAUGCAUAUCAAUAAGCGGAGGAAAAGAAACUAACAAGGAUUCCCCUAGUAACGGCGAGUGAAGCGGGAAGAGCUCAAAUUUGAAAUCUUAAAGGGUUUCCCUUUACGAAUUGUAGUUUAAAGAAGUGUUUUCUGUUGAGGUUUUGGUAAAAGUUCUUUGGAAUAGGACAUCAUAGAGGGUGAGAAUCCCGUAUUUGACCUUUACUUUCAACUUUGUGAUAUACUUUCAAAGAGUCGGAUUGUUUGGGAAUGCAGUCCAAAAUGGGUGGUAAAUUUCAUCUAAAGCUAAAUAUUGGCGAGAGACCGAUAGCGAACAAGUACCGUGAGGGAAAGAUGAAAAGAACUUUGAAAAGAGAGUUAAACAGUACGUGAAAUUGUCAAAAGGGAAGCGUUUGACACCAGUGUUGUUUUUCUGAAAAUCAAUUAAAGAACUGUUUAUGCUAAGUUGUUUAGACUUUAUCAGCUAUCUGUUUAGUUUUGAGCUUUUCUUUAAUGCACUUUUCAGUUAACAAGUCAACAUCAAUUUCCUUUGCUGUAAAAAAGCUUGAGGAAGGUGGCUUGAGAUUCGUCUUAAGUGUUUAUAGCCUCUUGCCUAUGCAGUCGGAGAGAUUGAGGUCUGCAGCGUAGAUCCUUCGGGGCUAAAUGCAUUUGUGCUAAGUUAUAGCAUUUUAUAGACAACUUGUUGACUAUGAUUUGUCUUGUAGCUUACUCGCUUAUGUUAUUUUACCUACGCUUAGGAUGUUGAGCGCAUGUCUCUCUCU